This 481-nucleotide ribosomal RNA is filed under the name uncultured bacterium. RNAcentral describes it as "bacterial SSU rRNA". It matches the Rfam family "Bacterial small subunit ribosomal RNA", at positions 55 to 527 of the family's 1533-position model. The record is from RNAcentral.
AUGCAAGUCGACGGAACGAUGAAGAGCUUGCUCUUCAGGCGUCGAGUGGCGGACGGGUGAGUAAUACAUAGGAAUCUGCCCAGUAGCGGGGGACAACUUGGGGAAACUCAAGCUAAUACCGCAUACGCCCUACGGGGGAAAGCAGGGGAUCUUCGGACCUUGCACUAUUGGAUGAGCCUAUGUCAGAUUAGCUUGUUGGUGGGGUAAUGGCCUACCAAGGCGACGAUCUGUAGCUGGUCUGAGAGGACGAUCAGCCACACUGGGACUGAGACACGGCCCAGACUCCUACGGGAGGCAGCAGUGGGGAAUAUUGCACAAUGGGCGAAAGCCUGAUGCAGCAAUGCCGCGUGUGUGAAGAAGGCCUGCGGGUUGUAAAGCACUUUCAGUAGGGAGGAAAAGCAAUGGGCCAAUACCCCGUUGUCUUGACGUUACCUACAGAAGAAGCACCGGCUAACUCUGUGCCAGCAGCCGCGGUAAUACG